Molecule: ribosomal RNA, 428 nt
Filed under: Escherichia coli
Lineage: Bacteria; Pseudomonadati; Pseudomonadota; Gammaproteobacteria; Enterobacterales; Enterobacteriaceae
Description: partial 23S ribosomal RNA
Rfam family: Bacterial large subunit ribosomal RNA
Source: RNAcentral
GGCACCUCGAUGUCGGCUCAUCACAUCCUGGGGCUGAAGUAGGUCCCAAGGGUAUGGCUGUUCGCCAUUUAAAGUGGUACGCGAGCUGGGUUUAGAACGUCGUGAGACAGUUCGGUCCCUAUCUGCCGUGGGCGCUGGAGAACUGAGGGGGGCUGCUCCUAGUACGAGAGGACCGGAGUGGACGCAUCACUGGUGUUCGGGUUGUCAUGCCAAUGGCACUGCCCGGUAGCUAAAUGCGGAAGAGAUAAGUGCUGAAAGCAUCUAAGCACGAAACUUGCCCCGAGAUGAGUUCUCCCUGACUCCUUGAGAGUCCUGAAGGAACGUUGAAGACGACGACGUUGAUAGGCCGGGUGUGUAAGCGCAGCGAUGCGUUGAGCUAACCGGUACUAAUGAACCGUGAGGCUUAACCUUACAACGCCGAAGCUGUU